This 474-nucleotide long non-coding RNA is filed under the name Medicago truncatula (barrel medic). Its description in RNAcentral is "long non-coding RNA (MTRU_LNC000136)". The record is from RNAcentral. Lineage: Eukaryota; Viridiplantae; Streptophyta; Magnoliopsida; Fabales; Fabaceae.
AAACAAACUUUUAUUCAACUUUUAUUCAACAUGGUACACUGAAAAUCUAAAUGAGCCUAUCUUUCCACGGAAGUCUAGCAUGUAUCAAGAAGUGAAAAGCAAAACUGGAAAUAGAUAAAAAUUUAAUUUUCCUUCAUGGCCUCCAACAUAUUCAUAUGAAGCACUGAAAUAUUCCACCCUCAUGGUAAUUUCCAAUGAUUUCUAUGAAAUUCAAUUUUGGAGGAAGAGCUGCAAAAGAGAUACUUCAAUUGAUUUUCGUGUAGUUUAUUUUCUCUUUUGGGUAUAAGCCUUUGUUUUAAUAAAAAAGUUUUUUUUUGUCAGUAGUCUAGUGGCUAGAAUUCACCUUAUAAAGUGAAUAACGGUCAUAGGUAUUGAUUUUGUUUGUUUUAUAUUUAUCGGAAUUGCUAACCGGUGCCCCAGACCCUGGGGCACUGGUUAAGGAUAAGAAAAAGGAAAUUAUAUAGUAGUUAAUGC